RNAcentral lists this ribosomal RNA (260 nucleotides) under uncultured bacterium. Its description in RNAcentral is "partial 16S ribosomal RNA". It matches the Rfam family "Bacterial small subunit ribosomal RNA", at positions 793 to 1055 of the family's 1533-position model. The record is from RNAcentral.
GUCCGCACCGUAAACGAUGAUUACUCGCUGCUAGAGGGCAACUUUUAGUGGCUUAGCGAAAGCGAUAAGUAAUCCACCUGGGGGAGUACGCCGGCAACGGUGAAACUCAAAGGAAUUGACGGGGGCCCGCACAAGCGGGAGGAGCAUGUGGUUUAAUUCGAUGAUACGCGAGGAACCUUACCAGGGCUUGAAAGUUAGGGAAUAACUCUGAAAGGAGUUAGUCAGCAAUGACCCGAAACUAGGUGCUGCAUGGCUGUCGU